RNAcentral lists this ribosomal RNA (301 nucleotides) under uncultured bacterium. RNAcentral describes it as "partial 16S ribosomal RNA". It matches the Rfam family "Bacterial small subunit ribosomal RNA", at positions 509 to 807 of the family's 1533-position model. The record is from RNAcentral.
CAGUCGCCACGGGAAUACGAAGGGAGCAAGCGUUGUUCGGAAUUACUGGGCGUAAAGGGUGCGUAGGCUGUUUAAUAAGUUAGAUGUGAAAGCCUCGGUUUCAAGCUGAGAAUAGCAUUUAAUACUGUUAGACUAGAGGAUAAGAGAGGAUAGUGGAAUUCUGAGUGUAGAGGUAAAAUUCGUAGAUAUUCGGAGGAACACCGGAGGCGAAAGCGUCUAUCUGGAUUAAUCCUAACGCUGAGGCACGAAAGUAUGGGGAGCAAACAGGAUUAGAUACCCCCGUAGUCCCUGUCUCUUAUAC